RNAcentral lists this microRNA precursor (136 nucleotides) under Hordeum vulgare. RNAcentral's name for it is "microRNA MIR1122". It matches the Rfam family "MIR1120/MIR1122 microRNA precursor family". The record is from RNAcentral. Lineage: Eukaryota; Viridiplantae; Streptophyta; Magnoliopsida; Poales; Poaceae.
AUACUACUCCCUCCGUCCAAAAAUUCUUGUCUUAGAUUUGUUUAGACAAGAAUGUAUCUAGUCAACUUUUAGUAUUUAGAUACAUCCAUUUUUAAACAAACCUAAGACAAGAAUUUUGGGACGGAGGGAGUAUUAG